Molecule: ribosomal RNA, 403 nt
Filed under: uncultured bacterium
Lineage: Bacteria
Description: bacterial SSU rRNA
Rfam family: Bacterial small subunit ribosomal RNA
Source: RNAcentral
AACGAACGCUGGCGGCGCGCCUAAUACAUGCAAGUCGAGCGAGAAGGUGUAGCAAUACACUUGUAAAGCGGCGAACGGGUGAGGAAUACAUGGGUAACCUACCCUCGAGUGGGGAAUAACUAGCCGAAAGGUUAGCUAAUACCGCAUACGAUUCCAGCACUUCGGUGCUGGAAGGAAAGCACUACCGUGGGUAGUGCGCUCCUGGAUGGGCUCAUGUCCUAUCAGCUGUUGGUGAGGUAAUGGCUCACCAAGGCUUCGACGGGUAGCUGGUCUGAGAGGACGAUCAGCCACACUGGCACUGCGACACGGGCCAGACUCCUACGGGAGGCAGCAGUAAGGAAUAUUGCGCAAUGGGCGACAGCCUGACGCAGCGACGCCGCGUGGGGGAAGAAGGCUUUCGGUU